GCUAACAUGUUGAUAAUCAAAGCGUACAUAAUCUGUACAGGAAUAGAAUAAUUCUGAAACUUCUUACUCAUGUCCAUUGCAUAAAGGAAAUGCAAAGGUAAGAUACUUGCCUGAUUCGCUGAUUACAAAUCUCAACUUAGGUUUUAUCUCUUUAUCACAACCUAUCAAUAAUCAGAUCAUUCGUUCGAUUAGAACAAUAUAUCAUAACACAUAGUACUGUCUAUUACAGUCAGCACAUAGUCUAAUCACGUCAUCACAUAAUCGCAGUGAUCAUACUUUUAGUUCAUAUUCUAUACUUGAAAUAUUUUUAUACAUUUUUCAAAUAUCUCAUCCAUGCUCUUACAGAAGUCUUUUCUUUCUAUUAUAGGGUCUGACAUUUGUCGGCGUACCGACAGCUUUAUCGGGUAAAUACUGAGUCUAAGACUCUUAUCCUAUACCUCAACAUCUGUAAAUAUCAAACAUUUUAUUUUUAAUCAUUUUCGAAUUUUCCAGAAAUUGAAAAAUUUAAAAUAAUUCAAAUCUGUCACUACCGGGCCUAUAGUGAUAUAACUGUUACUAUAGGUGUUCCUCAAAACUUCAUAACUUCAUAAUCGGUUCUCAAGUCAGCUAGUUUGGCCGGCUAUAACUUUCAAACAUCGGAAUCAUAAUUAAAUGAUUUAAACAUUAAACAAUUCCAUUAUCAUUAAUAAUUAAUUUAUAUUAAACUAUUAAUGAAACCAUUGCCAAAAUAUAAAAGUUAUUUAUAAUAACUCAAACUAUUUUUAAAACAUUUAUAUUACCCUUAAAUGAUUUUUAAAACAAUUAAAAUCAUUUUUAAAUAAUCACCAUUAAUAUAUAAAUAUUAAUGUACUAUUCAUCCAAAUAUUAAAAGUCAUUAAUUAUAACUUAAAAUAUUUUUAAAUCCUUAAUAUCCUCUUUAAAUGAUUUUUAAAUAAAUAAAACCAUUUUUAAACUAUUUAUUUAAUAAUAAUUAUUAAAUAAACUAAAUAUCAUUAAUAUUAUCUUAAUAUCAUUAAUAUUAAAUUAUUAAUGAAAUUAUCCUUUAAAUAUUAAAAGUUAUAUUUUAUAACUUAAAAUAUUUUUAAAUACCUUAAUUUCAUUUAAAAUGAUUUUUAUAAUAUUAAAAUCAUUUUUAAACUAAAUUAUUUAAUAUAAUCAUUAAAUAACUUUAAUAUCAUUAAUAUAUAAUUAAUUAAUGAAAUUCAUCACAAAAUAUUAAAAGUCAUGGAAAAUAACUUAAAAUAUUUUCUUAUACCAUAAUAUAAUUUUUCAUGAUUUUUCAUGAAUUAAAACUAUUUUUAAAUUAUUUAUUUAAUAUUAUAAUUAAAUAAAUAAAUACCUUUUAUAUUCCAAAAAUAUUAAAUUUUUAUGAUAUAUACUCAAAAUAAUUAAAAACUAUUUUUCGGACUUUUAAAAGAAUUUUUCAGAAUUUAUUUGGUAUUUUUAAUAAUUAAAAUCUAAUUUUUCUAAUUUUUAAAUCAAUUUUCGGAAAAUAAUAAUAAUAACCGUCGCUAAAGGCCCCUAUAGUGACAGAAGCGUCGCUAUAGGUGUUCUUCACCAACCCAGAUUUCAUAAGGCAGUUAGCGAGUAGGCACGUUUGACCGAGUAUAACUCUCUUAUCUGAACGAAUUUGGACAAUCUAUAAAUUGGAUCUUGUAGACGAAAUACCAGACUACAAUUACCAACAAUCAUAACGUUUAAACAACAUCCGAUCUGGGAGAAAUCAGCCAUCAAAGUAGCUUCCAAAGCCGUUCUUCACGAAGAACAGUUUGAGGUGCUUACUUUGGACCUCUAUAACUUGAUGAUCGUGUAAUAUUUUGGUGAUCUAUCAACUCCAGUGUGUAGAAAACAUGUAGGAAUAUAACUUCAAACCUUAACAUCAUCAUAAAAACAUAAUAUCUAACCGAAAAUCGUUGGUCAAAAUGCAACACGGAACUUGUUCAUGAAAAAUCUAGUUUCGCUAGUUUGGCAUAUUUGGUCAAUGGGUUUUGACCGCUUAUAUCUCUCAAUAUAAAACUGAUUUAGACUUGUUUCUUUUUUUAUCUUAAAGACCACAUAACAAGCUACACAUAUCAUCUUUAAAACACCACAAACAGUAAAUAAUCACAGAGAUAUAAGGCUUCACAUUUGCCCAAAAAUAACAGAAUUCGAUUUUUCAAAAGUUGGAAAAACUUUGAUUUUGAGCACUUUGAUGUUAUGGGUCAUGAAUUUAACAAUCCAGAACAUUAAUAGACUCUCUAUUACACAACUUUAAACAAUCAAUUGCAUCAAUUAACAUCGAAUCGAAGGAUUUCUAGAAUUUAGGAUUUCCUACCUUUUCAAGCUUGAUUUUUGAUUUCUGGCUUCUUGAUGCUUCUGAUUUGUGGUUUGUGAUGGUUGGUCUUUGAUUAUGAGCUUUUGGGUAAGAUAAUUUCGUUGGCUAGAGGUUGAGAGAGUGUGGCUAGAGAGUUUAGAAAAUAUUAGUGUGUGAAUUCAUUCAAUCUCCUUGAUCUCUAUUUAUAGGCCAUGCUAGAUGUUUUGGAUGCUGAUUUGGUUGGUAUAAUUGAGCUCACAUGAUAAUUAUGGA
This 2566-nucleotide long non-coding RNA is filed under the name Panax ginseng (ginseng). RNAcentral's name for it is "long non-coding RNA (PGIN_LNC000543)". Lineage: Eukaryota; Viridiplantae; Streptophyta; Magnoliopsida; Apiales; Araliaceae. The record is from RNAcentral.